RNAcentral lists this ribosomal RNA (453 nucleotides) under uncultured bacterium. Its description in RNAcentral is "bacterial SSU rRNA". It matches the Rfam family "Bacterial small subunit ribosomal RNA", at positions 354 to 796 of the family's 1533-position model. The record is from RNAcentral.
GUGGGGAAUAUUGCGCAAUGGGCGAAAGCCUGACGCAGCGACGCCGCGUGGGUGAUGAAGGUCUUCGGAUCGUAAAGCCCUGUGGGAGAGGGAAGAACAACCGAGGGGAACAAUACCCCCUCGGCCUGACGGUACCUCUCCAGAAAGCACCGGCUAACUCCGUGCCAGCAGCCGCGGUAAUACGGAGGGUGCUAACGUUGUUCGGAAUUACUGGGCGUAAAGCGCACGCAGGCGGCUUGGCAAGUCAGGUGUGAAAGCCCUCGGCUCAACCGAGGAAGUGCAUUUGAAACUGCCUGGCUAGAGUACGGGAGAGGGUAGUAGAAUUCCCGGUGUAGAGGUGAAAUUCGUAGAUAUCGGGAGGAAUACCGGUGGCGAAGGCGGCUACCUGGACCGAUACUGACGCUCAGGUGCGAAAGCGUGGGGAGCAAACAGGAUUAGAUACCCCAGUAGUCC